Non-coding RNA from Trametes gibbosa, 84 nucleotides. NCBI's taxonomy places the organism in Eukaryota, Fungi, Basidiomycota, Agaricomycetes, Polyporales, Polyporaceae. The record is from the annotation of a GenBank genome assembly.
GGCUACCUGGCGCAAUGGUAGCGCGUUUGGCUUCGAUCGCCGACGGAUACCAAAAGGCUGCAGGUUCGAGUCCUGCGGUGGUCA